Molecule: non-coding RNA, 28 nt
Filed under: Mus musculus (house mouse)
Lineage: Eukaryota; Metazoa; Chordata; Mammalia; Rodentia; Muridae
Source: RNAcentral
UUGUCUAGGUGUGACCAGAGCUGGUGGU